AUGAACGCUGGCGGCGUGCCUAAUACAUGCAAGUCGCGCGAACGGACGAGAAGCUUGCUUCUCUGAUGUUAGCGGCGGACGGGUGAGUAACACGUGGAUAACCUACCUAUAAGACUGGGAUAACUUCGGGAAACCGGAGCUAAUACCGGAUAAUAUUUUGAACCGCAUGGUUCAAAAGUGAAAGACGGUCUUGCUGUCACUUAUAGAUGGAUCCGCGCUGCAUUAGCUAGUUGGUAAGGUAACGGCUUACCAAGGCAACGAUGCAUAGCCGACCUGAGAGGGUGAUCGGCCACACUGGAACUAAGACACGGUCCAGACUCCUACGGGAGGCAGCAGUAGGGAAUCUUCCGCAAUGGGCGAAAGCCUGACGGAGCAACGCCGCGUGAGUGAUGAAGGUCUUCGGAUCGUAAAACUCUGUUAUUAGGGAAGAACAUAUGUGUAAGUAACUGUGCACAUCUUGACGGUACCUAAUCAGAAAGCCACGGCUAACUACGUG
This 496-nucleotide ribosomal RNA is filed under the name uncultured bacterium. Its description in RNAcentral is "partial 16S ribosomal RNA". It matches the Rfam family "Bacterial small subunit ribosomal RNA", at positions 29 to 507 of the family's 1533-position model. The record is from RNAcentral.